RNAcentral lists this long non-coding RNA (312 nucleotides) under Androctonus crassicauda. Lineage: Eukaryota; Metazoa; Arthropoda; Arachnida; Scorpiones; Buthidae. The record is from RNAcentral.
AAGGCUUAUCUACAAUAUCUAGAAGAAAUAACGAAAAAUGUAACACAUUGUAAAAACUUUUUCCAAUGCCAAAAUUCACUUAAUGGCGGACUGAAAGCAACAAGCGGCGACAUGUGCGCUCCGCUGCAGACUGGUAGAAGCCUAAACUACUAUUUACACUUGGUCCUGUUAUAUUUUAGGAGAAUACAGAGCCAGGAGACCGGGGUCCAUUUUAGGGAGGGGAUCCGGGUUUGGACACUUUCCUCUACUUUUUUAUCAAGUUUCGCUUUAAAAUGUAUAUUAGCAAGGGCGACUUGUGCAAAGACACUGCGG